Molecule: ribosomal RNA, 322 nt
Filed under: uncultured eukaryote
Lineage: Eukaryota
Description: partial 18S ribosomal RNA
Rfam family: Eukaryotic small subunit ribosomal RNA
Source: RNAcentral
CCCUUAGAUGUCCUGGGCCGCACGCGCGCUACACUGACAUGUUCAACAAGUUUCUCCUGGUUCGACAGGACUGGGAAAUCUUUGAACGCAUGUCGUGAUAGGGAUAGAUCAUUGCAAUUAUUGAUCUUGAACGAGGAAUUCCUAGUAAACGCGAGUCAUCAGCUCGCAUUGAUUACGUCCCUGCCCUUUGUACACACCGCCCGUCGCACCUACCGAUUGAAUGUUUCGGUGAAGAUUCCGGAUAGGACUGAUUUGAUUUAUUUCAUUUCUGACCUAAAAGCUAUCUAAACCUCAACAUUUAGAGGAAGGUGAAGUCGUAACA